GGAGUUCUCUUGCUGGACUACGCUUUUCCUCACCUUAUCACAUGUCAUCAAGCCUCCUACCCUGGAUUCACUACAAGAAAAAUGGCUAUUAAGGAAGGGAAAAAUGGUCCCUAAAGGUCUGUUUCUGGUCCAAUCGAGACCAGAAAAAUCUGGUCGCCACCCUUCUCUAUUGGCUUCUUCGCUAAAAGUCAACAACGACGAGAUUUGAGAACUGGUCCCUAAAUACUAUUAGGGACCUGAAUAAAUUUGAUCUGUAAAAUACUUUUAGGGACUAAAUUUCUGGUCGCUAUUUCAUGAUCUGUAGCAUUGUAAGGAGUUAUUUAUGGUCCCGUGGUAUUCAUUAGGGACCAAUUUUAUGGUCCUUAAAUUUUGCAUUUGACAACAGAAUCUGGUCACUAAAAGUGAUUGAUGGGACUAUCAAUUUAGUACUAAUAUUUUUCACUCCUAAAACUCUACAAUGAUAUAAAGUUUCUAACAGAAAAUCAAACACAUCUGAUUAAUUUUGAAUUAAAUCCAUCAGCAGAACUAUAUUAGACAAUAUAAAUAUUAUAUUGUUUACACAACCCUUUCAAGAAAUCUAGCAUCUAACGUUAAAGAUAUAAAUUAUUCACCUAACACUAAAACAUUAGAAGAAACAUGAAAACUUGUAUCUUGACUUGCUCAAUUAAACACUUCAAUACCUGCAAAGGAUUCAUGAUACAUUAAUUUAGUAGAAAAUUAUUUUUGUAAUUUUAUAAGUAACACUAAUUUAAACACUCACCACACUUAUCUUUGAGUAUCACUAUAUCAGCUCCAUGCUUAACAUGAGAAGUUUAAAUAAACUUUCAUAAUCAAUGUACUGAAUAUAUAGCUGCAGACGAAGAUCCUUAUUUAAAGCAGUUUUCUCGAUCACAUAUAUGACAAAUUAACCAAUUAAAAAGAUAAACGUAUUCCAAUCAGAUUUACACUACGAGAGCAAUUAAGUCUAUUAAAAAAAACUCAAUGAGUUGUCAGACAAAGAGUUGAUAAAAGAGAUAAGAUACGUGUUUAUAAAUUGAACAAGUCAUUGAUCAAACUAUACUGCCAACUGUAUCACAUCAAAACAAACUAGACUAUAGAACAUUUUUAUCUACUCCAACUAAAAUUGAAUUCAAAUACAAAAGGGAAAAAAAGCCUUGUUGGUAUCAAACAUGAAGCCAUGUUUAACACACUCACACACGUAUCAAGUGUACUUGACUUUUAUCAAUAUCAAAGAGUAAAAUGUAGCGCAACAAAAGAAACCACGGGACGAUAAAACUGAAAUAGCAAAUUUUCUUGAUUAUUUAAGUAGGUUAGUUUCUAUAAAAUGGAUGCAUGAUUACCUAAAGAUAUUUCGGGUUGCAGUUGUUUCAUAUUGCGGCACAGAGAGAUUAUAUUUCUUAGUUGUGUCUUUGUAAGGCUCGUGUAUCAAAAAUCUUAUUAUGCAACAGAAAGAUUAAACAAUACAGAGAACUAAAGAAUGAAAUACAAGAUGAAAAAGAUAUUAACACAAUCAAUCUCAUCAUUGCUAACUUAACUUGUUAAACUAAAAAUUGAAAGUACAAUUUUAAACAAUCUGAUACCUCCCCACACAUAAAUUCAUAAAGGGAAAAAGCUAACACACUAGUCUUAUACAUACAAUGCAAGAUUGUCAGUUGUAUCCGAGUUGUCUACCUCUCAUUUUUGAAUCUGAGAAAGACACUGAAUAUUUUGUAUUUUUUUUUUUAUGAAAAUGAAUUUAACUCAACUACUGAUUUAUACUAUAUCGACUCAACUUUAUCAAAUUCUUCAUUCUCUUUUAAUGCAAACCAUUUUUAAAUAUAUUCCAUAGAGUUACAUGAAUAUCCUCUUCAUAUUAUCAAACUAAUGUUCAAGUAACAACAUAUACUUUUUACAAUCAUCAAGUAAUUAGAUACAUCUUGGAGCAUGACAAUAAGUUUGUACUCAAUAAAAAAUAUUUAAUGAAUCAACAAGUUACUAAAGCACAAACUCAAGGUAUGUGAUAGUGACUAAACUCACCUAAGAAGAGAUUUCUUCAUUUACCGCUUCGAGAAGGAAAGAAUAAUGAAUCAACAGUUUUGAAAGCUAGAUAUUGAGCAAAUUACACAAAUGAAAGAAAAAGACAAUUAGCAUUUAAUCAGUAAGUAAGCCCGCAAAUUACAUGGCACUGUCAUGUCAAAUUCAUCUAUAAAUUGCAUAAAACUUUAGUCCCUGCUAGAAGUUUGAGUUGUAAAUUACUUUACUGCUUUUUGAUUCAAGUAGCAUAAUUUCUUUGCUCACACCAAUUAAGCAGUUAACUAGAGAUAUUUUCAUGCCUGUAUCCUCUGCCUCUUUUUAAAUCUAACCCUAGCUACCAUUUUCAUAUCAAACCCAUUACUCCUAAUUUCAGCCCACACUCCAAAACUAUCGGUAUUAAGAAGAAUCAAUACAGAAGACUACCGUUCUCAACAGUUAAGGUUAAGCAUGACGGAGAAAAGAAAUUUUGUGUUCUAAACCCAAAACAAAAAAACCUGUUUAGAUAGACGACUCUUCAGAUCCAGUUUGUAAAUGUCGUAUCUCCAGCCACUUUCGAGUCUAUGGCCUUUGAGAGAGAAAUUUAGAUUCUAUGGUGUUUGAGUGAGAAACUUUGAAGAGUCAAUCCCUAGGGAUUUUAACUCGAUGUUGAAGAUGGG
RNAcentral lists this long non-coding RNA (2669 nucleotides) under Solanum tuberosum (potato). Its description in RNAcentral is "long non-coding RNA (STUB_LNC006461)". Lineage: Eukaryota; Viridiplantae; Streptophyta; Magnoliopsida; Solanales; Solanaceae. The record is from RNAcentral.